Molecule: transfer RNA, 74 nt
Filed under: Saprospiraceae bacterium
Lineage: Bacteria; Pseudomonadati; Bacteroidota; Saprospiria; Saprospirales; Saprospiraceae
Rfam family: tRNA
About the family: Transfer RNA (tRNA) molecules are approximately 80 nucleotides in length. Their secondary structure includes four short double-helical elements and three loops (D, anti-codon, and T loops).
Source: Rfam by way of RNAcentral
GAGAUUAUAGCUCAGCUGGUUAGAGCGCCGGAUUGUGGUUCCGGGGGCCGUGGGUUCAAGUCCCAUUAGUCUCC